GAUGAAGAACGUAGCGAAAUGCGAUAAGUACUGUGAAUUGCAGAAUUCAGUGAAUCAUCGAAUCUUUGAACGCACAUUGCGCCCGGCAGUACUCUGCCGGGCAUGCCUGUUCGAGCGUCAUUUCAACCCUCAAGCCCUGCUUGGUGUUGGGGUCCCACGGCCGCCGUGGGCCCUGAAAGGAAGUGGCGGGCUCGCUACAACUCCGAGCGUAGUAAUUCAUUAUCUCGCUUAGGGCGUUGGGCGGCGCUCCUGCCGUUAAAGAACCAUCUUUAACUCAAGGUUGACCUCGGAUCAGGUAGGAAUACCCGCUGAACUUAAGCAUAUCAAUAAGCGGAGGA
RNAcentral lists this unclassified non-coding RNA (338 nucleotides) under soil metagenome. Its description in RNAcentral is "partial contains 5.8S ribosomal RNA, internal transcribed spacer 2, and large subunit ribosomal RNA". The stretch from base 1 to 120 matches the Rfam family "5.8S ribosomal RNA", at positions 35 to 154 of the family's 154-position model. The record is from RNAcentral.